GCUGGGCACGGUGCUGCUUGCCUGUAAUCCCAGUGGCUCAGGAGGCUGAGGCAGGAGGAUCAUGAGUUCAAAGCCAGCCUCAGCAAGGGUGAGGCACUAAGUGAGAACCUGUCUCUA
This 117-nucleotide small RNA is filed under the name Marmota monax (woodchuck). The record is from RNAcentral. Lineage: Eukaryota; Metazoa; Chordata; Mammalia; Rodentia; Sciuridae.